AAACUGGAGAGACAGAGGAGACUACUCAAAAAGAGACCUCAGAGGACACUACUCUGAAAGAGACCAUCGUUCAGCAGGUUUUCCCUGUUUAAGCGAAAGCCACUGACAAGCCAGAAGAAUGUAUGUA
Catharus ustulatus (Swainson's thrush) is the source of this 127-nucleotide long non-coding RNA. RefSeq lists it as uncharacterized. NCBI's taxonomy places the organism in Eukaryota, Metazoa, Chordata, Aves, Passeriformes, Turdidae. The record is from RefSeq and is a predicted model, not a curated record. The transcript is spliced from 3 exons.